CAUUAUGUUUUUUUAUUAUAA
RNAcentral lists this transfer RNA (21 nucleotides) under Vespa crabro (European hornet). Its description in RNAcentral is "partial tRNA-Leu". Lineage: Eukaryota; Metazoa; Arthropoda; Insecta; Hymenoptera; Vespidae. The record is from RNAcentral.